GCCACUGGAACAGGUUUGCCAAAGUGAAGUUUAUGGAAAGAAGUCGUACUCACUCGUGUCUGUUGUACGAAGGUGCCGUAGGGAAAUAGUGACAUUGUGGAACAACGAAGACAUUUCUGGGCGUUUGCACGAAGCUGGGGAGAGAAAGAGAGCGGGAGAAGAUCAGUAUUACGAAGACUGUGAGUACAUUGGAUUGCUUAGAUUGGUUGUCUUAUAUCUGGAUGAGAAAGAGAGCGGGAGAAGAUCAGUAUCACGAAGACUCUUGUUGAGCGGCCCCAUCGUUGGAGGACGAGACGAGUGGGUGAGCCGAAGUAGAGCGUGGGUGAAUGGAUGUUAUUUGGCUGUGGCCACACCGUAAAGUUUGGAGCACUUACCGUGACAGCGACUGCAAACUCCUCCAGGACGAAAUUCGACCGGGUGUGGAGUACCGACCUUAAAAAUCACUGAAGUGUGUGUAGUGCAGUGGGUGAGUCUGUCUUUGACGUGUGUGCACUAAAGCUUUGCAGUGCUGUGCCGUUUCCCUGUUGUCUGUACUUGCCCUCCAGGCCGAGAAAAGUUCCUGUUGGAAAGAACGUAGGCUGCCGUGGCGGUGCCCACCUAUCCCACCUACGCCCGCCUAUAACUCCGUUCUCUGGACCCAGCUCGAAGGGAUUUGGGUGUUACCUUAUAUCUACCUAGGAGGUCUAUGGGAGUGGAGGAGCUGUCCAGACGCUGGAGAAGAGAAGGGCGCCACGGGAAAUCAAGCAGUUAAGGAAGGACUUAGGAUUAGUCAGGAGACUGGUGGAAGUUCUGGGAAAGGACGGAAGAGCCCUUGCCCCCCCCUCCCCUGGUGAUUACUUACCAAAGACCUCCAGAGUUCUCAGGCCCAGUCCCCUCCUGUCAAGAGACGAAAAUCAAAGUUUUAGAUUCCCCUUUUCUCCUUUCCUAGAUUACCUUUUUAAAUAAUUUAAAUAAAGUUGUUUUAAAUUCCCUUAA
Cyprinus carpio (common carp) is the source of this 975-nucleotide long non-coding RNA. RefSeq lists it as uncharacterized. The transcript has 4 exons. Lineage: Eukaryota; Metazoa; Chordata; Actinopteri; Cypriniformes; Cyprinidae. The record is from RefSeq and is a predicted model, not a curated record.